GCAGUGGUAGCUCAGUGGUUAAAGCAUUGGGUUACUGAUUGGAAGGUCAUGAAUUCAAACCCCAUCACCACCA
Molecule: non-coding RNA, 73 nt
Organism: Ameiurus melas (black bullhead)
Lineage: Eukaryota; Metazoa; Chordata; Actinopteri; Siluriformes; Ictaluridae
Source: the annotation of a GenBank genome assembly